GGUUCACCCAUUGGUCAGGCUUAAUUGUCUGCACUGGUGAGAUGAGUCUCUACCUUCUGAGGAACUUUCAUGUCAUUAAUUUGGUGUGAUUGGAAAUCAGGACUGUUACUUUGAAAUUAGAGUGUUUAAAGCAGGCUAACGUCUGAAUACAUUAGCAUGGAAUAAUGAAAUAGGACGGACUGAUUCUAUUUCGUUGGUUUCUAGGAUCACCGUAAUGAUUAAUAGGGAUAGUUGGG
Molecule: ribosomal RNA, 236 nt
Filed under: uncultured Glomus
Lineage: Eukaryota; Fungi; Glomeromycota; Glomeromycetes; Glomerales; Glomeraceae
Also listed under: 1 other name
Description: partial 18S ribosomal RNA
Rfam family: Eukaryotic small subunit ribosomal RNA (bases 47-236)
Source: RNAcentral